CUGGGUCAUAUGAUGAUUAGAAGCAUAGUUCAAAUGAAAUCUUUUGUGAUUUUAAAACUUCUUUUUAGUCUUUCGCUCCUAUCUGAUGACUCUU
Small nucleolar RNA from Nicotiana attenuata, 94 nucleotides. It matches the Rfam family "Small nucleolar RNA snR60/Z15/Z230/Z193/J17". From Rfam's summary of the family: The members of this family belong to the C/D class of snoRNAs which contain the C (UGAUGA) and D (CUGA) box motifs. Lineage: Eukaryota; Viridiplantae; Streptophyta; Magnoliopsida; Solanales; Solanaceae. The record is from Rfam.